ACCAUCUCCGUCUCUCUCCCCACCCGCUUCCUCCUCACGGACGUCAGCUGCUCCCACUAUAAGCCACUACACAGGGAAACACUGUGCGGCCAGUAACCGCCGUUUCUGAUACACAGCACCAUCCCACUGCGGCCAUUCUUCACCCCCCGGAACUGACACUGCACAGCGGCCAUUCCUCCCCCUCCGUUCCCCCGGACCGCAGACACUACAGAGCGGCCAGGGGACGGACAGUACAGAGUUCCUCUCUCAUCCCUCCCGCGGACCGGACACGACACUACAGUCUCUCCACCCGGACCGGACACAGAUCACAAUAUACUCACGUAUUCGGCUUGGAAUGCUGCUGUGCUGUUCCCUCUUCUUCAGCCUCCGCGCACUGAGGUGCUAACCUUGGAAUGAGUAUAUCGCAACAUUUCUAUAACUGAAACAAUGGACACACAGAAACCUCUUGGUGGGAAUGCAUGAAAAUGUGAAGUGGUCUUGUGAAGUAGUAAAAAUCAUGGAGCUGCAGGGACAGACACAGUGCAGAAGACGAUGUUGUAUCUGGACACACACAAUUUCUUAUAUAUAAACUCGGAAUCAAGGCUCCAAGAAGAGGACCCCAAUUACAUCCUUUUUUCAGCCCUGACGAAGCUGUCAGAGUAACGGCAGAACACGCGUGUGGGCAGCGUGUGUCCGCGUGGCUCCAUGUCUUUAUAUUAAGAUAAAUGUCUAGUCAGUUCUAACUUAUACUAUGUGCAGUGUUGGUUAAUAGUAAUAGUGUAAAACAGCUGGUAGAUGAGAUUCAAUCACAGAGAACUGCAGAUUCAUUCAAUAGAUAAGUGACUCAGGGGCAGAUGUAUU
Pseudophryne corroboree (corroboree frog) is the source of this 840-nucleotide long non-coding RNA. RefSeq lists it as uncharacterized. Lineage: Eukaryota; Metazoa; Chordata; Amphibia; Anura; Myobatrachidae. The transcript is spliced from 3 exons. The record is from RefSeq and is a predicted model, not a curated record.